Molecule: unclassified non-coding RNA, 166 nt
Filed under: uncultured Ascomycota
Lineage: Eukaryota; Fungi; Ascomycota
Description: sequence contains ITS1
Source: RNAcentral
CCGAGUUGCAAAACUCCCUAAACCAUUGUGAACCUACCUGUACCGUUCCUUCGGCGGGCGGCGUCGCGCCCUAACCUGCUCCCCCUUCGCGGGGCGGCGGACCCGCCGGAGGCCCCUAAACUCUUAUCUUCAGUUGGCAUCUCUGAGUAGAAUCAAAAAUAAGUCA